RNAcentral lists this ribosomal RNA (513 nucleotides) under Merluccius albidus (offshore hake). RNAcentral describes it as "partial 16S ribosomal RNA". It matches the Rfam family "Bacterial large subunit ribosomal RNA", at positions 1854 to 2567 of the family's 2925-position model. The record is from RNAcentral. Lineage: Eukaryota; Metazoa; Chordata; Actinopteri; Gadiformes; Merlucciidae.
CCGCCUGCCCUGUGACUAUAUGUUUAACGGCCGCGGUAUCUUAACCGUGCGAAGGUAGCGUAAUCACUUGUCUUUUAAAUGAAGACCUGUAUGAAUGGCAUCACGAGGGCUUAACUGUCUCCCCUCUCCAGUCAAUGAAAUUGACCUCCCCGUGCAGAGGCGGGGAUAUUUUUAUAAGACGAGAAGACCCUGUGGAGCUUUAGACCUAAGAUAAACCACGUUAAAUAUACUAAAAUUAAUAGCAAAAACUUAGUGGCCCUUUAUUUAAGUGUCUUUGGUUGGGGCGACCGCGGAGUAAAACAUAACCUCCAUGUGGACGGGGAUACUAUCCCUAAAACUCAGAGCCUCCACUCUAAGCAACAGAAAUUCUGACCUUACUGAUCCGGUACAACCGAUUAACGAACCCAGUUACCCCAGGGAUAACAGCGCAAUCCCCUCUCAGAGCCCAUAUCGACGAGGGGGUUUACGACCUCGAUGUUGGAUCAGGACAUCCUAGUGGUGCAGCCGCUAUUG